CUGGCUCAGGAUGAACGCUAGCGGCAGGCCUAAUACAUGCAAGUCGAACGGGAUUGCCUCCUCGGGAGGCAUGAGAGUGGCGCACGGGUGCGCAACGCGUAUGCAACAACCCCCGACGGGCGGAUAGCCGGUGGAAACGCCGGAUAAUACGCCAUGGUUCCGGUGGAGGGCAUCCUCUACUGGAUAAAGCUACGGCGGUCGGGGACGGGCAUGCGUCCCAUUAGAUGGUAGGCGGGGUGACGGCCCACCUAGUCCGCGAUGGGUAGGGGAUCUGAGAGGACGGUCCCCCACACUGGUACUGAGACACGGACCAGACUCCUGCGGGAGGCAGCAGUAAGGGAUAUUGGUCAAUGGGCGGAAGCCUGAACCAAGCCAUGCCGCGUGAGGGAAUGAGGCCCUACGGGUCGUGAACCUCUUUUAUUCGGGGACAAGGACGCGGUCGGGAACCGUGUUUGAGGGUACCGAAGGAAUAAGCGUCGGCUAACUCCGUGCCAGCCGCUGC
This 502-nucleotide ribosomal RNA is filed under the name uncultured bacterium. Its description in RNAcentral is "bacterial SSU rRNA". It matches the Rfam family "Bacterial small subunit ribosomal RNA", at positions 19 to 518 of the family's 1533-position model. The record is from RNAcentral.